GUGGAUUACCCCUCUACUUAAAGGUAUACUAGCAUUUUUUAGAGGUUGCGGAUUACCCUCCUCUAAACUGAUACUUCUUCUGUUACAAUAUUGGAGUCUUAUUCUUCUUAGAGAGAGUGGAUUACCCCUCUUCUUGAAAUUCUUAAGGCGUUUUAUAGGUUGUGGAUUACCCUCCUAUAAACCAAUAUUGCCUCUUAUAGGGUCAUUUUUGUCCUUCUUUUAGAAUGGCCGGAGGUCAAGACAUUAGUAUGACAAAAAGUUCGGAGUCUAAGUUAGAUGCUAUUAUGAAUGCCCUUGCUACGUUAUCACAAAGAACUGCAGAGAUUGAAGGAGUGGUGGCAAGGCUUCAUAAUGAUGGAGUAUCUGAGA
RNAcentral lists this long non-coding RNA (369 nucleotides) under Physcomitrium patens. RNAcentral describes it as "long non-coding RNA (PPAT_LNC003599)". Lineage: Eukaryota; Viridiplantae; Streptophyta; Bryopsida; Funariales; Funariaceae. The record is from RNAcentral.